AGAGCGAACGCUGGCGGCAGGCCUAACACAUGCAAGUCGAGCGCCCCGCAAGGGGAGCGGCAGACGGGAGAGUAACACGUGGGAACGUACCCUUCAGUUCGGAACAACCCAGGGAAACUUGGGCUAAUACCGAAUACGUCCGUAAGGAGAAAGAUUUAUCGCUGAAGGAUCGGCCCGCGUCUGAUUAGCUAGUUGGUGAGGUAACGGCUCACCAAGGCUACGAUCAGUAGCUGGUCUGAGAGGAUGAUCAGCCUCACUGGGACUGAGACACGGCCCAGACUCCUACGGGAGGCAGCAGUGGGGAAUAUUGGACAAUGGGCGCAAGCCUGAUCCAGCCAUGCCGCGUGGAUGAUGAAGGCCUUAGGGUUGUAAAGUCCUUUCGACGGGGAAGAUAAUGACGGUACCCGUAGAAGGAAGCCCCGGCUAACUUCGUGCCAGCAGCCGC
This 445-nucleotide ribosomal RNA is filed under the name uncultured bacterium. Its description in RNAcentral is "SSU rRNA". It matches the Rfam family "Bacterial small subunit ribosomal RNA", at positions 26 to 518 of the family's 1533-position model. The record is from RNAcentral.